Molecule: ribosomal RNA, 460 nt
Filed under: uncultured bacterium
Lineage: Bacteria
Description: partial 16S ribosomal RNA
Rfam family: Bacterial small subunit ribosomal RNA
Source: RNAcentral
CCUACGGGUGGCAGCAGUGAGGAAUAUUGGUCAAUGGACGAGAGUCUGAACCAGCCAAGUAGCGUGAAGGAUGACUGCCCUAUGGGUUGUAAACUUCUUUUAUAAGGGAAUAAAACGAGGCACGUGUGCCUUUUUGCAUGUACUUUAUGAAUAAGGAUCGGCUAACUCCGUGCCAGCAGCCGCGGUAAUACGGAGGGUCCGAGCGUUAUCCGGAUUUAUUGGGUUUAAAGGGAGCGUAGAUGGGUUGUUAAGUCAGUUGUGAAAGGUUGCGGCUCAACCGUAAGAUUGCAAUUGAUACUGGCAGUCUUGAGUGCAGUUGAGGUAAGCGGAAUGCGUGGUGUAGCGGUGAAAUGCUUAGAUAUCACGAAGAACCCCGAUUGCGAAGGCAGCUUACUAAACUGUGACUGACGUUGAUGCUCGAAAGUGUGGGUAUCAAACAGGAUUAGAUACCCUUGUAGUC